AACUUUCUCUAGUAUAGUCAUAUUAUGCAAACACGUCAUUAAGCCAGGGACUGAUGGGGCUGUCACCCAGCCUGUGUGCAGUGUCUGACCCUUGCUGCAUAUGAUGACUUGUGUACAGGGUCGACCUAUUCAUACAGAUAUAUGCUUUGAUAUUUAAACUUUCAGUGUACCAGUAAAUGAGCAUGAAGUCACUGAAAAAUAAAAUCAUGGCAAAUUACAAUCUGGGGGAUGUUUGAAAAUGAAACACAGAAAAUAAACAUAUGCAAAUUAGCUUCAGGGCACUUGAGAAGGGUUCACCGUUAGUACUAACUCUGGGAUUUGUAAAAUUGCCCCUCUUUUCCCUCAAAAUCAGGGUACUACCUGUAAUCUCUCCCAUUGCUACCUUUAGCACAUUAGGACUACCAGUUCUAGGCAAGUGAAGCCUAGAUUAGGGAUUGGAGGAGAACAAACUAUCUUAAUUUUCAACAUUUCUUAAAUCCGUGAGUGUCUAGGAUUAAGAAUAACUAGAACACGUGGAAAGUAACCUAUUAGGGGAAAGAUGCUAUCAGGCAAUGAUGUCUAAGUCCAGGUACCCAGUUCAACGAGUAUGACUGAGAAAAGAAACUAGUCAGUGAUAUGCAAAACUAGAGGGAAAAGGGAGCAAUGUUGGUAACCAGGCUAACAGCGAAAUUGCUAAAAACAAAUAGGUAUCCCAUAGAUUUAUUUAUUGGCUUGGGAAAGCCUGUGUGGGGAUACGCUUGCUUAGUGUAAAGUUUCAGGAUCAAUGCAAAAAAUUCUCCUGAAAGAGAAUGUAGAGCCCUCUAAAUCUAGGGUGUAAAGUUGUUUUUGCAUACACCGUGCUGUUUCAUCUCUCUCUUUUUCUUUUAAUCUGUUGGGUUUUUAAUGUUUUAGUUGACACAUUGUAAUUGUACGUAUUUAUGGGGCACAAUUUGACGCUGUAGUAUAAUACAUAUAUAUGUUGCACAGUGAUGAUCAAAUCAGGGUGGUUGGCAUAUCCAUUGGCUUGUGCAGUUUUCAUUUCUAUGUGGUAAAAACAUUCAAAGCCUCUUUCCUAGCUAUUUUGUAAUAUAUAAUAUCUUACUAUUAACCACAGUCACCCUGCUGUGCAAUAAAACACCAAACGUUAUUCCUCCUAUCGAAUUGUCACCUUGUACCCGUUGACCAAUCUUUCUCUCUCUUCCCUCCCCAUUCCCUCCUCAGUGUCUGAUAAAUGUUAUUCUAUGCUAUACCUCCGUAAUAUCAACUUCUUAUUUUUUUCAGAUUCCACAUAUAAGUAAGGUCAUAUGGUAUUUGUCUUUCUGUGUCUGGCUUAGUUC
RNAcentral lists this long non-coding RNA (1316 nucleotides) under Macaca fascicularis (crab-eating macaque). RNAcentral's name for it is "lncRNA (ENSMFAG00000060614.1)". The record is from RNAcentral. Lineage: Eukaryota; Metazoa; Chordata; Mammalia; Primates; Cercopithecidae.